UACGAAGGGGGCUAGCGUUGCUCGGAAUUACUGUGCGUAAAGCGCACGUAGGCGGAUUGUUAAGUCGGGGGUGAAAUCCUGGAGCUCAACUCCAGAACUGCCUUCGAUACUGGCGAUCUCGAGUUCGGGAGAGGUGAGUGGAACUGCGAGUGUAGAGGUGAAAUUCGUAGAUAUUCGCAAGAACACCAGUGGCGAAGGCGGCUCACUGGCCCGAUACUGACGCUGAGGUGCGAAAGCGUGGGGAGCAAACAGG
This 253-nucleotide ribosomal RNA is filed under the name uncultured bacterium. Its description in RNAcentral is "partial 16S ribosomal RNA". It matches the Rfam family "Bacterial small subunit ribosomal RNA", at positions 524 to 776 of the family's 1533-position model. The record is from RNAcentral.